This is a long non-coding RNA of Grammomys surdaster, 1064 nucleotides long. RefSeq lists it as uncharacterized. The record is from RefSeq and is a predicted model, not a curated record. The transcript is spliced from 2 exons. Lineage: Eukaryota; Metazoa; Chordata; Mammalia; Rodentia; Muridae.
GAGAAGAAGAAGGCAAGAGCAGGGGUAGGAAGGGAUUUCUGAUGGUCCUACUUUGUCAGUGUGGGCUGUAUACAUAGUGACUUCCUUCCAAAGAGUAGCAUGGAAAGAGAGGGUGGGGGUGACUUAGCAAGCACUGCCUGAGUCAGGGGAGGUCAGCAUCCUCGACAGGAUGAAGUGUGGAGAGCUCUGUGGCUUUCUUCCCAGUGAGCCACAAUCUAAGCAUCAGAGCAACAUGCAAGUUCAGUUCAGCAGACUACCUGCCAGUGUCUCUCAAAACACCACGUCUUCCACAACAAGGGAAGUCUGAGAGCCGGGUAGGAGGCUGAGUUGGAGACAUGGUGACUGAAGGCUGAGGCGUGGUGACUGAAGGUGCUCUGUUCUACAUGGAAGCCUGUCCAGAGGAGCACAUGGCAGAAAACAAAUCUGAGUACAGGAUGCCAUGCAAGUGAGUAGAGCUGUUCCGUGUCCUCCGAAGGGCUCUUAGACUGUGCUGUGUGUAUAACUGAGAGAGCAGUGGCCUGGAGGUCACAGCCCUGGCAUUUAGGUUACACUGUCCUUGGCAGUCAGACAGGCACUGAACAGAGCAGUGCUCCGGACUUCAGUAUCCUGUUUCUGUAAGACUGGGCUAACAAUGUGAUACUGCACUCUUUUUUGCAGUUCCGUUUGGAGACCCAAAUGAAUUCAUGAAUGUCAAAUACUUUGGAAAGCUUACGAAGUUCUAGAUACAAUGAUAUGCCUUCAGUCCUUAGUCUAACACCCAAACUUGAAGGGAGCAGCAGCGCUGAGUGAUUACCGCUGAGUGGCCCCUUUCGCAGUCUGCUGAUGGCUCCGACCUAGUCAUCUGAAGCUGAAGAGUGCGAUUCUGUGUGCCCCACUGACACCUCAUCUGUCACAGAGCAUUACAAGAGUAUCUGUCUGUUUUAGAUAUAGAUUACAACAUCUCAAGCUACAAGAUCCUUUCUACUUCACUAUUACCCAGCCAGCCCGGUGCUGUACUUUGUGAUAUGCUAUUGUGUUGGGGAACUCUUCUGAGACUCUAAUGGAAUAAAGAUGUCUGAAAUCCA